Long non-coding RNA from Cornus florida, 755 nucleotides. RefSeq lists it as uncharacterized. The transcript has 2 exons. The record is from RefSeq and is a predicted model, not a curated record. Lineage: Eukaryota; Viridiplantae; Streptophyta; Magnoliopsida; Cornales; Cornaceae.
UAUAUGAAUCAUCUUCUUCCAUUCUUUACUAUUAUAAGCCAUAUUUCUCUUAUAUUUAUUUUUUUAAUUAGGGAACCAAAACAAUUUGCAGAAAUACAUCCUAAAAUAAAUUACAAUAUUGAUGUCAAUCAUUGCUUAUACUCAAAGGGCUUCACAAUAAAUCUUCUAACAUACAAGUAUAUUCAAGAAACCCUUUGUAGCAUCAAAACAACAAUCAAUGUAGGAUAGAUACUACACAAAAGGUUUAGGGUAAAUUACAGCAUGGCUUCGGCCAAAAUGGUGGAAGACGAGGUGAUUGAUGUCGUCUCCAUAGUAAGGAAAGUCUUAGACGGUGGCGGAAGGAUAAUCGUGUGCCCGACAGAGGUGGCGCGUGAAGGAGUAGCGCGUCAGCAUAACGAUUUGGCACCUAUCGUUGCCAUUCAUUACUGCAAGCACUGGUCCAAGCCAAGUUUUAGGGUUUGAAUGGUUUUUCUACCAAUGGAAAGGGCUCGUAAAUGGAGCUUUGGAGCUGUUGCCUUUCUAAUGGUCUAACUUUUAUGUUACUCCCUUUAAUACUCAUGUGGUGGCUUGGCUAUGUUAUUCUUCUCAGCAAAUUUGAAACCUGGCCUUCUUUUUUCUUCAGGUUUUAUUUGCCAUUUCAUGGCUUGCCUUUAUUACAUCUGUAGUGUCAUUUAUGGAUGUGUUGUGUAGAUACCGUAUAGCUGUUCUCUUAUUACCAUGAUUAAAAAUAAGAGGAAUGCUAGUGAUUGUCCUUU